UUCUCUGAUUUCGACUUCAGUGGAUAAGCGUCGAUCUGGUUUCCAAAAAGAUUGAAUCGAAUAUGGAUCACCUUCUUCAGGAAACCAAACGGUCUGAAGCGUAAAAUAAAAGAUAAGCACAAAAC
Non-coding RNA from Camelina sativa (false flax), 125 nucleotides. The record is from RefSeq and is a predicted model, not a curated record. NCBI's taxonomy places the organism in Eukaryota, Viridiplantae, Streptophyta, Magnoliopsida, Brassicales, Brassicaceae.